ACUCCUACGGGAGGCAGCAGUGGGGAAUAUUGCACAAUGGGCGGAAGCCUGAUGCAGCGACGCCGCGUGAGGGAUGACGGCCUUCGGGUUGUAAACCUCUUUCAGCAUCGACGAAGCCUUUAUCGGUGACGGUAGGUGCAGAAGAAGCGCCGGCCAACUACGUGCCAGCAGCCGCGGUAAGACGUAGGGCGCGAGCGUUGUCCGGAUUUAUUGGGCGUAAAGAGCUCGUAGGCGGCUUGUCGCGUCGACUGUGAAAACCCGCGGCUCAACUGCGGGCUUGCGGCCGAUACGGGCAGGCUGGAGUUCGGUAGGGGAGACUGGAAUUCCUGGUGUAGCGGUGAAAUGCGCAGAUAUCAGGAGGAACACCGGUGGCGAAGGCGGGUCUCUGGGCCGAUACUGACGCUGAGGAGCGAAAGCGUGGGGAGCGAACAGGAUUAGAUACCCUGGUAG
RNAcentral lists this ribosomal RNA (450 nucleotides) under uncultured Actinomycetes bacterium. RNAcentral describes it as "bacterial SSU rRNA". It matches the Rfam family "Bacterial small subunit ribosomal RNA", at positions 335 to 793 of the family's 1533-position model. Lineage: Bacteria; Bacillati; Actinomycetota; Actinomycetes. The record is from RNAcentral.